Molecule: ribosomal RNA, 414 nt
Filed under: uncultured bacterium
Lineage: Bacteria
Description: bacterial SSU rRNA
Rfam family: Bacterial small subunit ribosomal RNA
Source: RNAcentral
UCGGGAAUAUUGCGCAAUGGAGGAAACUCUGACGCAGUGACGCCGCGUGCAGGAAGAAGGUUUUCGGAUUGUAAACUGCUUUAGACAGGGAAGAAAAAAGACAGUACCUGUAGAAUAAGCUCCGGCUAACUACGUGCCAGCAGCCGCGGUAAUACGUAGGGAGCAAGCGUUAUCCGGAUUUAUUGGGUGUAAAGGGUGCGUAGACGGGAAGACAAGUUAGUUGUGAAAUCCCUCGGCUUAACUGAGGAACUGCAACUAAACUAUCAUUCUUGAGUGCUGGAGAGGAAAGUGGAAUUCCUAGUGUAGCGGUGAAAUGCGUAGAUAUUAGGAGGAACACCAGUGGCGAAGGCGACUUUCUGGACAGUAACUGACGUUGAGGCACGAAAGUGUGGGGAGCAAACAGGAUUAGAUACC